UACGUAGGUGGCAAGCGUUUGUCCGGAAUUAUUGGGCGUAAAGCGCGCGCAGGUGGUUUCUUAAGUCUGAUGUGAAAGCCCACGGCUCAACCGUGGAGGGUCAUUGGAAACUGGGGAACUUGAGUGCAGGAGAGAAGAGUGGAAUUCCACGUGUAGCGGUGAAAUGCGUAGAGAUGUGGAGGAACACCAGUGGCGAAGGCGACUCUUUGGCCUGUAACUGACACUGAGGCGCGAAAGCGUGGGGAGCAAACGGG
Molecule: ribosomal RNA, 254 nt
Filed under: uncultured bacterium
Lineage: Bacteria
Description: partial 16S ribosomal RNA
Rfam family: Bacterial small subunit ribosomal RNA
Source: RNAcentral